UUGAACGCUGGCGGCAUGCCUUACACAUGCAAGUCGAACGGCAGCACGGGAGCAAUCCUGGUGGCGAGUGGCGAACGGGUGAGUAAUAUAUCGGAACGUGCCCAGUCGUGGGGGAUAACGUAGCGAAAGCUACGCUAAUACCGCAUACGAUCUAUGGAUGAAAGCGGGGGAUCGCAAGACCUCGCGCGAUUGGAGCGGCCGAUAUCAGAUUAGGUAGUUGGUGAGGUAAAGGCUCACCAAGCCGACGAUCUGUAGCUGGUCUGAGAGGACGACCAGCCACACUGGGACUGAGACACGGCCCAGACUCCUACGGGAGGCAGCAGUGGGGAAUAUUGGACAAUGGGCGCAAGCCUGAUCCAGCCAUGCCGCGUGCAGGAUGACGGUCCUAUGGAUUGUAAACUGCUUUUAUACAGGAAGAAACACUCCGACGUGUCGGAGCUUGACGGUACUGUAAGAAUAAGGAUCGGCUAACUCCGUG
RNAcentral lists this ribosomal RNA (478 nucleotides) under uncultured bacterium. Its description in RNAcentral is "bacterial SSU rRNA". It matches the Rfam family "Bacterial small subunit ribosomal RNA", at positions 30 to 507 of the family's 1533-position model. The record is from RNAcentral.